This 456-nucleotide ribosomal RNA is filed under the name uncultured bacterium. RNAcentral's name for it is "bacterial SSU rRNA". It matches the Rfam family "Bacterial small subunit ribosomal RNA", at positions 343 to 796 of the family's 1533-position model. The record is from RNAcentral.
UGGAGGCAGCAGUGGGGAAUUUUGCACAAUGCCCGAAAGGGUGAUGCAGCAACGCCGCGUGAGGGAUGAAGGCCUUCGGGUCGUAAACCUCUUUCGAUCGGGAAAAACGGGCGGGUGAAGAACCCGCUCUGAUGGUACCGGAUGAAGAAGCCCCGGCCAACUACGUGCCAGCAGCCGCGGUAAUACGUAGGGGGCAAGCGUUGUUCGGAAUUACUGGGCGUAAAGGGCGUGUAGGCGGUGCGGUAAGUUGGGCGUGAAAUCCCCGGGCUUAACUCGGGGCGGUCGUUCAAAACUGCCGUGCUGGAGUGUGGGAGAGGGAAGUGGAAUUCCCGGUGUAGCGGUGAAAUGCGUAGAUAUCGGGAAGAACACCUGUGGCGAAGGCGGCUUCCUGGCCCACAACUGACGCUGAGGCGCGAAAGCUAGGGGAGCAAACAGGAUUAGAUACCCUAGUAGUCC